Molecule: ribosomal RNA, 561 nt
Filed under: Triticum aestivum (bread wheat)
Lineage: Eukaryota; Viridiplantae; Streptophyta; Magnoliopsida; Poales; Poaceae
Description: partial small subunit ribosomal RNA
Source: RNAcentral
AUGUUGCAGAAGCAAAAAGAACCUAUAGAGGAGGGCGAAGUACCUUUAACAGAGCAACAGAUUUGCGAGCAGGUGCUUGGUAAGGAAUAUGGUUACAUUAGAGGUCGGGGUCAUGGACCAAAACCAAAUAGAAGGGCCUACUCAAGCGCAUCAAGCUCAACUCGGCAUGUAGUGGAAGAAUUGGCAUCUACAAAGGAGAUUGUUGCUACACAACAAACUCAAAUUGAGGCUCAACAAUCUCAGCUUGAAGCUCAACAGAAGAAGAUCGAUUGGCUACAGAGUGUCGUGUCUAACUUGGUUGGCAUUUCACCUCCUAUGGACGGCACUAGUGCGACAGGGCUUGGUUUCUUAACUGAUAGAUCUGUUUUGCGUCAGGCUACAUAUCUGUUUCUUCUGAUGGUUCUCUGGUCUCAGAUGGAGGGUCAAGGAGGUGAAGCAACUUUGGAGAGGUGUAGAGGACACGUGGGGAGUGAUCGGAGCAGUGCUAAACUAGAUGCCAAAAGAGUAGUUCCUGAUUUGCAAAUUCGGCUUACAAAUACUAGAUGUCAAAUACUAGAAUAG